This 465-nucleotide ribosomal RNA is filed under the name Vreelandella stevensii. Its description in RNAcentral is "partial 16S ribosomal RNA". It matches the Rfam family "Bacterial small subunit ribosomal RNA", at positions 338 to 795 of the family's 1533-position model. Lineage: Bacteria; Pseudomonadati; Pseudomonadota; Gammaproteobacteria; Oceanospirillales; Halomonadaceae. The record is from RNAcentral.
CCUACGGGGGGCAGCAGUGGGGAAUAUUGGACAAUGGGGGGAACCCUGAUCCAGCCAUGCCGCGUGUGUGAAGAAGGCCCUCGGGUUGUAAAGCACUUUCAGUGAGGAAGAACGCCUGGUGGUUAAUACCCAUCAGGAAAGACAUCACUCACAGAAGAAGCACCGGCUAACUCCGUGCCAGCAGCCGCGGUAAUACGGAGGGUGCGAGCGUUAAUCGGAAUUACUGGGCGUAAAGCGCGCGUAGGUGGCUUGAUAAGCCGGUUGUGAAAGCCCCGGGCUCAACCUGGGAACGGCAUCCGGAACUGUCGAGCUAGAGUGCAGGAGAGGAAGGUAGAAUUCCCGGUGUAGCGGUGAAAUGCGUAGAGAUCGGGAGGAAUACCAGUGGCGAAGGCGGCCUUCUGGACUGACACUGACACUGAGGUGCGAAAGCGUGGGUAGCAAACAGGAUUAGAUACCCUGGUAGUC